GGCAGGACGGCAGCUUCGCGUGUUCACAGAUCACAGUCGAGAGCAGAUCAAACGAGUAAAGUCGUCUUUAGUGUUAGUCUACAGGCAACGUUACUAAUAUUUCUGUCUAAUUGAGUAACUGUGUGUGUAAGUUUUUACAGUCAACUUAAUCUGCAGCAAUUUUUCAUUGUUCAGUUGACCAGCUUAUUUCCAAAUCAACUAAGUGAAGAUAAAGUUCAGUCAUGGUUGGAAGAAGAAGAGGUAAUGCUGUCAAAGAAGUUUCAAAAACAACAACCAAGGUAUUUGGUACAAAAAGUACUGCGGCAGAAAAAUAUGUGGUUGAAAAAGUGGUGGAUAAAAGGAAAACAAAAGGUACUACCCAGUAUCUUUUGAAGUGGAAAGGGUAUGAUGACAGUGAUAAUACUUGGGAAGAAGAAGAAAACAUGAAUUGUCCCGAAUUAGUUGCUGAAUUUGAAAAUCAACCAAAAAAGAAGAAGAAGAUGGAUAAAGAAGAAGAAUAUUCUGUUGAGAAAGUGAUGGAUCGAAGAGUGCAGAAAGGUAAAGUUCAGUACCUGCUAAAAUGGAAAGGCUAUGGCCAUAAUGACAAUACUUGGGAAAAUGAAGAAGACAUGGAUUGUCCUGGCUUGAUUGCAGCAUUUGAAAAUCAGACAUCAAAAGAUGCUGAAAAUGAGUUCUCAGUUGAAAAAAUUAUGGAUAAAAGAGUCAGAAAAGGCAAAGUGGAGUAUCUUCUGAAAUGGAAAGGCUAUGCUCAUAGUGAAAAUACCUGGGAAAGUGAGGAAAACAUGGGUUGCCCUGAUUUGAUGGCAGAAUUUGAAAAUAAGAAGAAAAAGGAAGGAAAAGCCUGAAUUUGGUCCGGCUGCUACAAUUUUUACACAAAUAAAUAUGAUAACUAUUCGGUUUGAUGUGGUUAGGGCAUAAGGAAGACAGCAGAGGUAUCCAAAAUAUUUCUUUGUGUUAUAACCUCAUGCCUUAAUUUAUAACUUGAAAUUGUUUUUAUUUUUGAUCAUUAUCAUCCAUCUCUGUUCUUUGUUCAUCGACUUACAUUAAUGUAAUGCGGUUGUCAUGCCUCAUGUGUUCCUUAAGAAAAAAACCAAGUUUCAUUUCUUUUCUUGAAUUAUCCUUGCAUACCCAGAAAUACAAGGCCUGUGUUUAUAAAUUUUUA
Daphnia pulicaria is the source of this 1162-nucleotide RNA transcript. It is a transcript of the gene named chromobox protein homolog 1-like, with no coding region annotated. The transcript has 6 exons. NCBI's taxonomy places the organism in Eukaryota, Metazoa, Arthropoda, Branchiopoda, Diplostraca, Daphniidae. The record is from RefSeq and is a predicted model, not a curated record.